AAAAAGAGCAAAAUUCUAACCAUUUUUACUCGAGCUCAAUCCAACGGUACCUCCUUAGCAAAACCCUAACUCUAAUCCUCUUCUCUCCCAUUUUCCCUUUCAUAUCCAAAAUCCCGUGAAAUCGCCAAUCCAUUCAGGCACCACCAUGAACACCGCUGCUCUCCUCAUCUUCUCACGACCUCCAACGAAUUCCCUCAAUUUUGACAACCUCUCAACACCAAUUCAUCUUGCCAGCCUAAAAGUUAACAUUAUGAGGCCCAUUAACCCCUAACAUUCUAGGGCCCAUUAACCCCACCGGACCUUGAAAUCUACAAACCGACUUCAGGACCUAGGCAGACGACGGGGGAGACUAGGAUGACUAUGACAUGGAUGACGUGGAAGAAGUCGAUAAUAAAAAAGACUUCGACGUCUAUUAUUACUCUGCAACUGCCUCACUCCCAUUCCGCAGUCGCAGGUAACGGCGGAGAUGAUGAUAUUGCGAUUGUGGAUAGUAAGAGCUUCAUUUCGACUCAGGGAGGACUUAGAGAAAAUUGUAGAUUUUCUGAUUAAUGAGGAUGAGUUCCAAAAAUUUGUCCUAUUGAUUGCGAAUUUUUCCUAAGGAAACUGCCUGACCCAGAUAAUGAUGUGUAAGAUUUCCACAAGGUAACAUUUUACCUUUUUCAUACUUUUAAUCUUGUUCUUCACUUUGAUUAGGUUACCCUUUCCUUGCUAAGUUAAAUUUUGUUAAUUAUUGCUACGUCAAUUUUUCUAAUUUUGAUUAUUAGAAAAGUAUUCCUUUUAAAACUUAGAGCUUGUUUGACAAGUAUUUAUAAGGGAUUUAAAUUCUUAUAUAUAUAAGUAUACAUAUUGUUGACCCCGAAAAUGGUCAACUGGUGUCGUUUGACGACAAUGUACAUGUGGACGUGUUUAGCUGUAUAUCGACUGUAAAUGCAUGUAUUUGUAGAAGAAGGUAGAAAUAGUGAACUAUAUAUGAAUAAGUGUAUUAUGUUUUCUUUUUUGUUCAAAGAUUCAUCCCUUAAAAUGAUACGAGAUUGGCGUGAUCAAGCCGAAGUGGUUACCGUUAGAUCCGAUUCACAUGGCCCGAUCGAUUAGACCUUGGCAUCACAUCAACCUAUCUCACAUUAAUUACAUUGACAUACAUUUGACAAAGGGAUCAACCACUCUACAUUUCUAGGCUGACAUCCCUGACAUUUAUUUAAGGAGAGCGUAACAUCAAUCAAUUCCAAAGGUGUGCUUAUCAUACUCUCUUCUAGUCGUCAAGGACUUCGGGAGUUGUGGAGUUCGACGGAAAGAAGUAGACCCACCUCGGAUAUGUAAGGGCCAGGACCACUUUGGAUAACUCUAGUGAAACAACCUCAUUGUUGCAACAGCCUCGGCCGUUAACCUUUUUAUAACUCUUUUGACCCAAUGCCACGUGUAUGAAUAUGGGGAUUUCAUGUGGACCGUAAUGUAUGAUUAACAACACAUAUGUACAUACAUUGUCGUAUUUUCUGCUUUCUAGGUUGCUUCUAUGUUAAUCUGUUUACUUAUAUGUAUUUGUGUUAUAUAUUGGCAGUGUUCUAAAAAGCUUGAUGCUC
Molecule: long non-coding RNA, 1577 nt
Filed under: Olea europaea (common olive)
Lineage: Eukaryota; Viridiplantae; Streptophyta; Magnoliopsida; Lamiales; Oleaceae
Description: long non-coding RNA (OEUR_LNC013742)
Source: RNAcentral